This 70-nucleotide transfer RNA is filed under the name Candidatus Aalborgicola bjergmarkensis. RNAcentral's name for it is "tRNA-OTHER". It matches the Rfam family "tRNA". From Rfam's summary of the family: Transfer RNA (tRNA) molecules are approximately 80 nucleotides in length. Their secondary structure includes four short double-helical elements and three loops (D, anti-codon, and T loops). Further hydrogen bonds mediate the characteristic L-shaped molecular structure. tRNAs have two regions of fundamental functional importance: the anti-codon, which is responsible for specific mRNA codon recognition, and the 3' end, to which the tRNAs corresponding amino acid is attached (by aminoacyl-tRNA synthetases). tRNAs cope with the degeneracy of the genetic code in two manners: having more than one tRNA (with a specific anti-codon) for a particular amino acid; and 'wobble' base-pairing, i.e. permitting non-standard base-pairing at the 3rd anti-codon position. The record is from RNAcentral. Lineage: Bacteria; Pseudomonadati; Pseudomonadota; Betaproteobacteria; Burkholderiales; Comamonadaceae.
GAUGCGGUGUACCCCGAUGGGUAAGGGGGCGGGCCACCGUUGAUGCCGGUUCGAAUCCGGCCCCGCAUCA